UGGGGAAUAUUGCACAAUGGGCGCAAGCCUGAUGCAGCCAUGCCGCGUGUAUGAAGUAGGCUUUCGGGUUGUAAAGUACUUUCAGUCGGGAGGAAGGUGGUAAGGUUAAUAACCUUAUCAAUUGACGUUACCGACAGAAGAAGCACCGGCUAACUCCGUGCCAGCAGCCGCGGUAAUACGGAGGGUGCAAGCGUUAAUCGGAAUUACUGGGCGUAAAGCGCACGCAGGCGGUUGAUUGAGUCAGAUGUGAAAUCCCCGGGCUUAACCCGGGAAUUGCAUCUGAUACUGGUCAGCUAGAGUCUUGUAGAGGGGGGUAGAAUUCCAUGUGUAGCGGUGAAAUGCGUAGAGAUGUGGAGGAAUACCGGUGGCGAAGGCGGCCCCCUGGACAAAGACUGACGCUCAGGUGCGAAAGCGUGGGGAGCAAACAGG
Molecule: ribosomal RNA, 429 nt
Filed under: Chloroflexota bacterium
Lineage: Bacteria; Bacillati; Chloroflexota
Description: Chloroflexi bacterium partial 16S ribosomal RNA
Rfam family: Bacterial small subunit ribosomal RNA
Source: RNAcentral